GAGAGUAUAGCUCAGUGGUAGAGUGUGUGCCUAGCAUGCAUGAGGUCCUGGGUUCAAUCCCAAGUAUCUCCA
RNAcentral lists this transfer RNA (72 nucleotides) under Camelus bactrianus (Bactrian camel). It matches the Rfam family "tRNA". Rfam says of the family: Transfer RNA (tRNA) molecules are approximately 80 nucleotides in length. Their secondary structure includes four short double-helical elements and three loops (D, anti-codon, and T loops). RNAcentral also lists the same sequence under 2 other names. The record is from Rfam by way of RNAcentral. Lineage: Eukaryota; Metazoa; Chordata; Mammalia; Artiodactyla; Camelidae.